GACAGAGGGUGCAAACGUUGUUCGGAAUUACUGGGCGUAAAGCGCGUGUAGGCGGCUGCGUAAGUCGGGCGUGAAAUCCCACGGCUCAACUGUGGAAGAGCACUCGAAACUGCGUAGCUAGAGUCCUGGAGAGGGAAGGUGGAAUACUUGGUGUAGAGGUGAAAUUCGUAGAUAUCAAGUGGAACACCAGUGGCGAAGGCGGCCUUCUGGACAGUGACUGACGCUGAGACGCGAAAGCGUGGGGAGCAAACAGG
Molecule: ribosomal RNA, 254 nt
Filed under: uncultured bacterium
Lineage: Bacteria
Description: partial 16S ribosomal RNA
Rfam family: Bacterial small subunit ribosomal RNA
Source: RNAcentral